UACAGAGGUCUCAAGCGUUGUUCGGAUUCAUUGGGCGUAAAGGGUGCGUAGGUGGCGGGGUAAGUCGGGUGUGAAAUCUCGGGGCUUAACUCCGAAACUGCAUUCGAUACUGCCGUGCUUGAGGACUGGAGAGGAGACUGGAAUUUACGGUGUAGCGGUGAAAUGCGUAGAUAUCGUAAGGAAGACCAGUGGCGAAGGCGGGUCUCUGGACAGUUCCUGACGCUGAGGCACGAAGGUCAGGGGAGCAAACGGG
Molecule: ribosomal RNA, 253 nt
Filed under: uncultured bacterium
Lineage: Bacteria
Description: partial 16S ribosomal RNA
Rfam family: Bacterial small subunit ribosomal RNA
Source: RNAcentral